RNAcentral lists this long non-coding RNA (2934 nucleotides) under Sus scrofa (pig). Its description in RNAcentral is "lncRNA (ENSSSCG00035036631.1)". The record is from RNAcentral. Lineage: Eukaryota; Metazoa; Chordata; Mammalia; Artiodactyla; Suidae.
AGCAAAACAGGAAUCUAGACCAAUCUGUAUGCAGAUACAAUGCUUCAAGUUCAUUACUGUUAUUAGGAAAUGGAAAUACAGCCAGAGUAGAAAUAACAGUCUAUUUCUCUCUGCCUGUGUUGUAUUUUUGUCAAUGGGGCUUCUGAAGGACUACACGUGCAUUUACUAACCCAUUAGAAUGAGUGAUUUUAUAUCCUAAUGUAGAAUUAAAGGAAUUUAAGGAUCUGCCUAGGAAAUACACUUGUUUAAACCUAAAUUAAUGUCUCUAUUAGUUGUGUUGGCUAGGUCAGUGGUAUAUUACUGGAAAAGAAAAUGUCCCAGCCCUGUGUGUGCUUUCUAAAAUCUCAGUGUAUUUCUUUUCUGACAAGAUAGAGGGCUGAUUUUCUUCUCCUCUGUCCAAAAUAUAAAACACAGGGACAACAUAACUAUUCUUAAAUGCAAAACAUCACAUCAAAUCUUUAUCAAAAAAAUCUCAUUCCUAUUACGGCAUUCUCCAUUUUUCUGUGAGGCCUCUCCCAGCUCUCAUCUUUGAGGCCAGUCAUUUCUUUUCCUUAGGCCCAACCAGCAGUAUUUGCUGUGGUAUUUACCAGGGCCUCCCCUAGGUUGUGCGGGAUCCUGGGCAAGUCUUCUUUUGUGGGGCCUCUGUCCCUGUUAACAAUUUGAUUGAAACACGUGUUAAAAAAUGCAUGGGCCACUGAGAGGCAUUGAUUUAUCAGUGAAGAUUUAGAAUCAUGGGUAGAAGAGAUACUUAUGUACUUAUUUCUUCUCCCGUCAGUGCUUGUGAAGCACCUCCUUCUCUCCAGACACCACCUCUUCCCGUCCAAGUCUAGGAGCCAUCUCCUCAUUGUGUUUAUUGCCAAAAGCACCCGUCCUUGAUAAUUCUACACCCCUGCCCACCGUUGUCACCCAGGACACAUGACUCUUUGGAACCUGUUUGUAUCAAAACAAUACAGCUCAUCUUGCCUUUGAGGCUUCCCCGGUCCACGUACUGAGGGCGGGCUCUACUGUGGUACCUCCCUCAAGUGGUUCAGGAACACCGGCCUCCAGGGAUAAUCUCAAAGGCGUUACUGUGCUUUGUUGAUGAUAAUGACAAAUGCACCCCUUCCCAGAGAAUGCAGUGACACUCGGAUGAUUGCGGUCAUGUAGUCAAUGUAUUAGUUUCACGUCAUCAGGACAGGACAGAGCGCCUUCCAGCUGCAUCUUGAGCUCUUUUGAUGCUCAUCCCUGUGCCCUCUCUCAGGGUCGAUCACAGCUUUGCUGUCAUAACUCAGGGGCAGGGCGAGGUGAGAGGAGUGGGCCAUCAGUGUAGGAGGACCCACCCCUUAUCCUGCGGGGCUUCACACGCACCUGGAAAGGACAACUAGACAGGAUUCCUACUGGAUUUACUGCUCUUUCUAGAAAAAAUGCCAACCUAAAGGUUUGCAGACCGUCUUCUUGAGUUAUCCCAGAAACAAUCCAUCAGGUCUUCUGAGAUAACUGGGAACCUUGACAAAUAAAAAUAGUGUCCUGGAUGUCCCAGCCACUGUGCAUGUGUGUGUAUGUCAACAGUUGGAAGUGCCGAGCGGUUUUCAUAAUUUUCUGCACCCGUUUGUGAGGUGUACUUUGGUGCUGAUUUUAUUUUUCCUAUGUGAAAGGGGUGUUGAUGUAGAGUAGGCUGUGUGUGUUGGGGGGCAGGGAGUAUGUGGGAACACUCUGUACUUUUAGCUCAAUUUUACUGUGAACCUAAAACAGCUUAAAAAAAAAAAAACAAACAAACCCAAACUGUUUAACAGGAAAGACAAACAAAAGGACUGGCUGGAAGAGUGUGAUGUCACCACGUUGACUGAGAGUGGGAGAGGGUGGUUUAAAAAGCCUCACACUGUUAUGGGGCAAUGGUCUGGAAAGCUCUCAGAGGAUAUGGGUGUAGUCACCCAUGUGGCGUGGAGACUACAGAAGAGUUGGGGUGACCCCCCUGCAUGCCAGGGUCUGGCCACCACCCCAGCUGCCCCUGGGUGCUGUGGACCAGAGGCAGCACUGUGGGUGGAACACAGAGCCAGUCCAUAGAUUCAUACACCUGUCCAAGAGUUGCCGUGGUCCUUCGGGAGCUCAGAGCCCUGAACUUGUCCGGAGUCUGACAUAAGUGAGAAUCUCCAAAAUCGUCAUGUCAGCACCAUUCUGACAACCUGGUGUCAUGCAAACCUUUGAGACCAAAAUGGCAGGACGCGGUCAUGGGUUUGUAACUUCAAAUAAAACCAGGACUGGGGUUCAGGGUGGGGGCAGGGGCACUGGAUGGAGAUCCCACCCGACCUGGGAGUGGGAUCAGGGUGGACACUCAGAGCAAAACAGAACACGACUCCAGACAAGUCCUCUCCGCUGGGACCACCCCUUUGCUGGGUGUGAUCUUUCAGGGUCUUUGCUGUUUGCCUUAGAUCCCUAGGGAAGCUUUAACUCAGGUAACAGAAAACCCCCACGUUUCAGUGGCUGGACCUGAUGGAAUCUGCUUUCUGGUAAAAAUCCAGCAGGGGCGUCCUGGCUGCCAGGCAAUGUCCAGGACCCAGGCGUCUCCCUUGGUGGAGCCUAAGGCUGUGGCUGCCUCUGCAUCUGGAUGGGGGUUGGGGGCAGGGCAAAGGGAUGGAGAUGGGCCUCUUAACACCCAGGAAGUUGAUGAGAACGAAGCCCCUUGCCCUCCUCCGUGUCCCAGAACCCUGGAGGGUGCUCUCUUGAAAGGAGUUCCAGUCGUGGCGCAGUGGUUAACGAAUCCGACUAGGAACCAUAAGGUUGCGGGUUCAGUCCCUGCCCUUGCUCAGUGGGUUAACGAUCCGGCGUUGCGGUGAGCUGUGGUGUAGGUUGCAGAUGCGGCUCGGAUCCCGCGUUGCUGUGGCUGUGGUGUAGGCCGGUGGCAACAGUUCCCUAGCCUGGGAACCUCCAUAUGCCGCGGGAGCGGCCCAAGAAAUA